GAUGAACGCUAGCUACAGGCUUAACACAUGCAAGUCGAGGGGUAACGAGAGGGAAGCUUGCUUUCCUUGUCGACGACCGGCGCACGGGUGAGUAACGCGUAUCCAACCUGCCCCCAACUAGGGAAUAACCUUGCGAAAGUAAGACUAAUACCCUAUAAUUUCCUCAGAUGUCAUCUGACGAGGAAUAAAGAUUUAUCGGUUGUGGAUGGGGAUGCGUCUGAUUAGCUUGUUGGCGGGGUAACGGCCCACCAAGGCAACGAUCAGUAGGGGUUCUGAGAGGCAGGGCCCCCACAUUGGAACUGAGACACGGUCCAAACUCCUACGGGAGGCAGCAGUGAGGAGUAUUGGUCAAUGGGCGGAAGCCUGAACCAGCCAAGUAGCGUGCAGGAUGACGGCCCUAUGGGUUGUAAACUGCUUUUAUACAGGAAUAAAGUUAGCCACGUGUGGUUAUUUGUAGGUACUGUAUGAAUAAGGACCGGCUAAUUCCGUGCCAGCCGCCGCAGUAA
This 506-nucleotide ribosomal RNA is filed under the name uncultured bacterium. RNAcentral describes it as "partial 16S ribosomal RNA". It matches the Rfam family "Bacterial small subunit ribosomal RNA", at positions 28 to 523 of the family's 1533-position model. The record is from RNAcentral.